This is a long non-coding RNA of Manihot esculenta (cassava), 546 nucleotides long. RefSeq lists it as uncharacterized. Lineage: Eukaryota; Viridiplantae; Streptophyta; Magnoliopsida; Malpighiales; Euphorbiaceae. The record is from RefSeq and is a predicted model, not a curated record. The transcript is spliced from 2 exons.
CACUGAGAUAUUAUUCUUUUUUCAAUAUCUUUUUGUGGAGUAAUGCUUUUGGGUUUCUGCCUUUUGGGCAGCUGCCAUUUGUUAAUUUCUGCUGUAUUUGGAAGAUGGUGGUGGUGGUCCUUUCCUUUUGCAGAUAAGCUGAGCUGAGUGCUUAAUGGGCAAGUUCUCUAAUGAAGAACAGCGUUGAGCUUCUUCAUCAAGAUCCUUUACCCAUGAUUAUGAGGGAAUUUGGCAACAAUGAUAACCAUGACAGAAAACCUUUUGGCAUUGUCUAGAAUUUAAUGAGGCUAUUCCCAAUCCCAUUGCUUUGAAUCUUGUGGAACCAGAUGCAGAUCCUGUUCUUCUGAUGAAUGGUAUGGUGGGAAGAUUUUGAGCCUUAACUGAGCUUCAAUCUCCAGGUUCCCAGUGAAAAUGGGGUGAAUUAAUAGGUAUGGGAAUUAGGUAUUCAUCCCAAGUGUUGAUUUAUCUCUUAGAUUUCAGAGUUGUGAUUUAUUGACACUGAUUUUUCUUUGUCAAAUAUAUCUUAUAAGGACAAUAUUUCUUCUC